CUCCCCUUGUACAACUGGCCUGGGAAAAGCCCGCCGCUUCUUCCAUCCUCUCCUCCUCUUUUCUCUCUUUCAGUUUCGCUGUUCUCUCAUCAAAGCUAACGCUUUUUUGUUACAUAUUUUUUUGGCUUGGUCUUUUCCACGAUACGAGAUUCUUAUUCUUCUUCUCCUUCACUGGCUUGUUGGAAUAUACACACAUCCUUCUUUCAUUGAUUGAUUCUCUCGCCGCAUCCAUUUGUCUAUAGAAUCAAAUACUGGUAUACACUUUAUAUAUAAAAGCCAACCAAGAAAGUGUGUUCUGUUUAAAAUUUAGAAUAAGAAUUAUGAGAGCGAGAUUGGUUGUGUUUCCUGUGAGAGGAAGGAAUUGGUGUUUUAGCAGAUCCAUCGACCCUUCCAUUGCUGAGGAUGCCUCAGCAUACACCCCCUCUUCUCUCAAGGAACUCUGGAAGAAGAUCUCAUCCUCCAACUCCAAUGCCCACAAUGCUGAGCUUCUCAUCGAUUUUGUCUCCAACAAGAUGAAUAGAGCAUGGAUGGGUCUAGAGAAGGCGCCAGAGGGCUCUUUGAAGAAUAAGAUUCAUGGGUUGGGAUUGAAGCUUUUGGCACGGGUUAAGCCAUCUGAGAUUUUCUUAAAAUCUAUAUCUAAGGAGGUCACUGAUGUUGAAAUUACAUACCCCUCCAGUUUAAAUCCACGACUUGUACGGCGAAGA
Molecule: unclassified non-coding RNA, 704 nt
Filed under: Hevea brasiliensis (rubber tree)
Lineage: Eukaryota; Viridiplantae; Streptophyta; Magnoliopsida; Malpighiales; Euphorbiaceae
Source: RNAcentral